GCCAGGCAUGGUGGCUCAUGCCUGUAAUCCUAGCAUUUUUGGAGGCUGAGGUGGGUGGAUCACCUGAGGUCAGGAGUUCAAGACCAGCCUGGUCAACAUGGUGAAACCCCAUCUCUA
RNAcentral lists this non-coding RNA (117 nucleotides) under Pan troglodytes (chimpanzee). The record is from Rfam by way of RNAcentral. Lineage: Eukaryota; Metazoa; Chordata; Mammalia; Primates; Hominidae.